UCUUGGUCCAUAGAGACAAUGAUAUUGCCACAUAUCUCAUAUCUAACUGUAACUGAGACUGAUUCUUGUUUAUGUUUCUCUUUCUCGACGGCUCUGACAUUGGAACAUAGUGGAUAAACCACAAAGGCACCAAAGCUGCCAAAGACUGUAUGAGAAUUCCUCCAGUUGAAGCAAUGAAAGAGGUGACUGAUCCUUCACAGCCUCCAGGGCACAUAUUUGCUAGCAA
Non-coding RNA from Camelina sativa (false flax), 226 nucleotides. The record is from RefSeq and is a predicted model, not a curated record. NCBI's taxonomy places the organism in Eukaryota, Viridiplantae, Streptophyta, Magnoliopsida, Brassicales, Brassicaceae.